AAGUCUGCAACCCCAUUCACAAGUGUGUCUGGGAAAUAUAAUUUCUAGACUUCCAUCACCAGAAAAUCUAUUAAAGACCACUAAAGGGCCGUGGUGCUGUGUGCCAACCCCACUCUCUGGCAAAACUGGGUCAAGGAAACCACAGGCAUUCGGCCUCCAGAGGGGCGAGGCUCUUGGAUCCAGGUGAAUUCUCCAACCACUGCAGUACUCUCCAAGCAGAGCCUCUCCUGCCCCCUUCAGUGUCUUCCUUCUUUCGGGCUCUGGAAGGAGGGAUCGAAACCACUGUUAGCAAGUUGGGGAAGGAGAAGUAGAAGCACAAAAAAGAGAAGGAAAAGCUGCAUGUUCAUUUCAUAUUGCAGCCUGAUGCAGACAUGAACUAGGUGUGGGGGCAGGAGGGAAGGGGACGCUUUAGCUUCAAUGAACUUGGAACUUUGGACUAUUACAUGAGAGGGAACAUUUUAAGUCCUGGACAGAGGCUGUUUUCAUAAUCGGAACUUAAAGGAGAAAUUUUUUGUUACCCGAGAGUGAUCAGAAAGUCAUGAGACUUGGCAGAGAUUUUAUCCAAGGGACAGGGAGAAGCUACCUGCAAAGCAGGUUUGGUGAUUGAAUGGGCAAACUGAAUUUAGCAUGCUGUCAUGGAGAUGGAUUAUAAGAUUUCCCUCUUAUGCUUUUUUCCUUAGUUUUUAACUGUGAAAUUAUUUUGCCCAAAUCACUCUUCCUUUCCCACUUUUAGCUUUCUUUCAAGAGGUGUGUUUCUUAGUUCUCCGGAAUUGUGCUAGCUCUUUUUGCCACCACCUGGUUAAAUCAGUACAGCAGGGGUGAGGGACCACCCCCAUCUUUAGAGAAGAGGGAGGUGAGGAUGUGGGACGCUAUGCUGCUUCUCAGGCCCCGGCAGCUGGAGGUGGUAGAGCUGAACUCUGAGUCAGAUUCUGGAUGUCCCAAAACGUUACCAUUCUUGUUACUUAUUGCCAGAGGGACCUCAUAAAAGACAGAGCCGACCUGAAGCGUCCUCACUCUCCCGCGGCCUGGGGAGGGGCCCUUAAAGCACUCCGGCAUGCCUGUUAGAUUCUUGGUGCAGCUUUAGCAGCUGGUGAGGCAUUUCUGCCUAUUUCCUCCCUCCCUCCUCUCUGCACCUCUUUCUGUGUCAAGUACCUGUUCGUCUCCAUUGCUGAUGAACUGAAAUCUGGCGAGUGACCAGAUCUGAUGCCCGUCAGUCCUUUGUUUUUGAUGACAUGCCUUUAUUGGUUUGCUGGUUGGCAAGCCUGACCAGACGACGUCCGGGGGGUGGGUGCGCAGGAGCCCCGCGCUGGUGCGGACGCGGGCCUGGAGCGCGCGCUGUCCUGGUCAGGAGGGCCCUGGGGACGCGACAGCCGCAGGGGGCCCGCGCGCUCCGGACGCGUGGCGGGGACGGAGCAGCUCCGGGCGUCCCCCCGCGCGCCGCCUCCAGAACCUGCAGGGAAAGCGGCCGCCGCUGCGCUGUCCCGCCAGCGCCCCCUGCUGACAGCGCUCGGCAUCGCGCUGCUCUAAGAGGGACGCGCGAGUGGGGUCCGCAGGUUUCUGCAGAGCAGGUGACAGUGAUGCAGGGGUUCGGAGCCGAGAGGAGAUCACUUGAGAGCCUGUACCCCGGCCUUCCAGACUCUUCCCUGGCGCCCCUCCCGCUCACUCCUCUUCCCACCCCACCCAAAAUAACCAUUAACCUGACCCUUUAUGGUGAACACGUCUUUGCUUUCCUUUAUAGUUUUUACCACCUACCCAUGCAGCCUUCAACACUAUGGUUUUUGUGUAUUUUUUAAAGACUUUUUAAAGUUUUUGUAGAAAAUCAGAGAAAAGAUUAUUUCAUGUGUUUGGCUUCCUACGCUCAACAUUUUGUUUUGAGAUUUGUUCUUCUUGUGUGUACGUGUAGGUCAUUGGUGCUCAUGGUUUCAUAAAUUUGGGGAAGGGGGCGGUGUAUAAAACUAGAAGUGGAGUUGCUGGGGCAGAGGGCAUGCACAUCUUCAAAUUUAGUAGAUAAAGCCAAGCGGUUCUCCAAAGUGGUUGUACUGAGUGUUCUUGGUGGCAGUGUACAUGAGUUCCCAUCACUCUACAUCCCUGUCAACACUUGGUAUUGUCAGUCUUUUUAAUUUCAGCCGUUCUCUUCAGUAGGCAAAGUUAUCUCAGUGGAUUUAAUCUGAGUGGCUCUGAUGACUAAUGAGGUGGACAACUUUUAUAUGUUAACUGGUCAUUUAGGUUUCAUCCUUUGUGAAGUGCCUGUUCACCGUGCUUGCCCAUUUUUCUUUUGGGUUAUUUGUGGUUUUCUGAUUGAUUUGCAAUUCAUUUCAAUUAUAUGUAUUGCAAGUGCUUUCUCCCCCCUCUGUGUUUCUUUUCAGUCACUAGUAUAUUUUUGGUUGAUUUCCUCCUAUAUGUUUUCUUUUGAUGAACAAUUUUUUUUUUUAAAUGUAGUCAAAUAAAGCAAUCUUUUCUUUUC
This is a long non-coding RNA of Choloepus didactylus (southern two-toed sloth), 2464 nucleotides long. RefSeq lists it as uncharacterized. NCBI's taxonomy places the organism in Eukaryota, Metazoa, Chordata, Mammalia, Pilosa, Megalonychidae. The transcript has 2 exons. The record is from RefSeq and is a predicted model, not a curated record.